This 501-nucleotide ribosomal RNA is filed under the name uncultured bacterium. RNAcentral describes it as "bacterial SSU rRNA". It matches the Rfam family "Bacterial small subunit ribosomal RNA", at positions 28 to 536 of the family's 1533-position model. The record is from RNAcentral.
GACGAACGCUGGCGGCGUGCUUAACACAUGCAAGUCGAACGGUCCUGUUUUUGAAGCGCUUCGGCGUGGAGGGAGCGGGUUAGUGGCGCACGGGUGAGUAAUGCGCGAGGACCUGCCCGCGGGAGGGGGACAGCAGUUGGAAACGGCUGGUGAUACCCCGUAAGCCGGGAGGUAAAAGGGCGGAGACGCCCGCCUGCGGAUGGACUCGCGUCCUAUCAGCUAGUUGGUGAGGCAACGGCUCACCAAGGCGACGACGGGUAGCCGGCCUGAGAGGGUGAACGGCCACACUGGGACUGAGACACGGCCCAGACUCCUACGGGGGGCAGCAGUGGGGGAGUCUUGCACAAUGGGCGGAAGCCUGAUGCAGCGACGCCGCGUGAGCGAAGAAGGCCUCGGUUGUAAGACUCUGUCUGGAGGGACGGAAACGAAAUAGACGGUACCGUCCGGACGGAAGGACCACGGCGUAACUACGUGCCAGCAGCCGCGGUAAAGUAGUGUGUA